Long non-coding RNA from Asterias rubens (European starfish), 545 nucleotides. RefSeq lists it as uncharacterized. The transcript has 3 exons. The record is from RefSeq and is a predicted model, not a curated record. NCBI's taxonomy places the organism in Eukaryota, Metazoa, Echinodermata, Asteroidea, Forcipulatida, Asteriidae.
CACGUCCAAAAAGAAGGAACGGACACCUCGCCAAUCAGGGUACUAUGUGAGCAGAUGCCAGGACUUGACGUAAACAUCUUGGAGACCUCAUCAAACCCGGCACCUCCGAGUCCACAUCAUCCACCUCCGCAAAGCACUUGCCAAGCUGGUGUGUUUGUACCAACUGUAGGGAGAUGCCAACACAACAGAAGAGGUCAUGCUGCAAACAAAGGCCGGAUGAAUGCUUCUCAAACUUGGCAAUCUUGAGGCACCUUGUUGUGGACCACCACUAGAGUUGGCACGACAUCAUCGGAAUGACAUGUACACCAGGGGAGCAUGAUGUGCACAACAAAUGACUUUGCCACCCAGCCAGCCUUCACAAACAACAUGUGUUGUGUCAGAAUGGUACUGGAAAUAGAGUAACACUACCUGGUUACUGUGUUUGUUAAAUCAGGGAUAUAUUUCCAGAUAGUUUCAACUUUCAUGUACACAUGAUUUAUGCAAAACAGGUUUAACAAAUGGCAAUAUUUCCUGUUGUCAACAAGUAGAUUCUUAUUCCUAAAUUA